This 533-nucleotide ribosomal RNA is filed under the name uncultured bacterium. Its description in RNAcentral is "bacterial SSU rRNA". It matches the Rfam family "Bacterial small subunit ribosomal RNA", at positions 157 to 685 of the family's 1533-position model. The record is from RNAcentral.
CGGUAGCUAAUACCGCAUAACGUCUUCGGACCAAAGUGGGGGACCUUCGGGCCUCACGCCAUCAGAUGUGCCCAGAUGGGAUUAGCUAGUAGGUGGGGUAAUGGCUCACCUAGGCGACGAUCCCUAGCUGGUCUGAGAGGAUGACCAGCCACACUGGAACUGAGACACGGUCCAGACUCCUACGGGAGGCAGCAGUGGGGAAUAUUGCACAAUGGGCGCAAGCCUGAUGCAGCCAUGCCGCGUGUGUGAAGAAGGCCUUCGGGUUGUAAAGCACUUUCAGCGAGGAGGAAGGGUGGUGUGUUAAUAGCGCAUCACAUUGACGUUACUCGCAGAAGAAGCACCGGCUAACUCCGUGCCAGCAGCCGCGGUAAUACGGAGGGUGCAAGCGUUAAUCGGAAUUACUGGGCGUAAAGCGCACGCAGGCGGUUUGUUAAGUCAGAUGUGAAAUCCCCGCGCUUAACGUGGGAACUGCAUUUGAAACUGGCAAGCUAGAGUCUUGUAGAGGGGGGUAGAAUUCCAGGUGUAGCGGUGAA